CAGAGAAUAGUUUAUAUAAAAUAUUAAUUUUGGAGGUUAAUGAAGAAUAAUUUUGUUUUUCUCUGA
RNAcentral lists this transfer RNA (66 nucleotides) under Abscondita anceyi. RNAcentral describes it as "tRNA-Pro". RNAcentral also lists the same sequence under 1 other name. Lineage: Eukaryota; Metazoa; Arthropoda; Insecta; Coleoptera; Lampyridae. The record is from RNAcentral.